GAUGAACGCUGGUGGCGUGCCUAACACAUGCAAGUCGAGCGAUUCUCUUCGGAGAAGAGCGGCGGACGGGUGAGUAACGCGUGGGUAACCUGCCCUGUACACACGGAUAACAUACCGAAAGGUAUGCUAAUACGAGAUAAUAUGCUUUUAUCGCAUGGUAGAAGUAUCAAAGCUUUUGUGGUACAGGAUGGACCCGCGUCUGAUUAGCUAGUUGGUGAGGUAACGGCUCACCAAGGCGACGAUCAGUAGCCGACCUGAGAGGGUGAUCGGCCACAUUGGAACUGAGACACGGUCCAAACUCCUACGGGAGGCAGCAGUGGGGAAUAUUGCACAAUGGGCGAAAGCCUGAUGCAGCAACGCCGCGUGAGCGAUGAAGGCCUUCGGGUCGUAAAGCUCUGUCCUCAAGGAAGAUAAUGACGGUACUUGAGGAGGAAGCCCCGGCUAACUACGUG
RNAcentral lists this ribosomal RNA (452 nucleotides) under uncultured bacterium. Its description in RNAcentral is "partial 16S ribosomal RNA". It matches the Rfam family "Bacterial small subunit ribosomal RNA", at positions 28 to 507 of the family's 1533-position model. The record is from RNAcentral.